AGCUCCAAUAGCGUAUAUUAAAGUUGUUGCAGUUAAAAAGCUCGUAGUUGGAUUGGUGUUAGUCACGUUUUUGCAGGUAAUUUUCCUAAAAGAACAUGAUUAAUAUAUUUGGGAUUUGAUCUAGAAUGGCAUUAAGUUGUUGAUUUAGUUUCAGCCCAUCGUUUACUGUGAAAAAAUUAGAGUGUUUAAAGCAGGUUAUUUAACCGUUGAAUACAUUAGCAUGGAAUAAUAAAAUAUGACUCGUAUGGUCUAUUUUGUUGGUUUGCACGUAUGAGUAAUGAUUAAUAGGGACAGUUGGGGGUAUUUAUAUUAUAGCGUCAGAGGUGAAAUUCUUAGAUCGCUGUAGGAUAAACUAAGGCGAAAGCAUUUACCAAGGAUGUUUUCAUUA
Molecule: ribosomal RNA, 388 nt
Filed under: Olpidiopsis sp.
Lineage: Eukaryota; Oomycota; Olpidiopsidales; Olpidiopsidaceae
Description: partial small subunit ribosomal RNA
Rfam family: Eukaryotic small subunit ribosomal RNA
Source: RNAcentral